CCGGGCGGAAGCUCGGCGCGGCCCCGCGGCGCCCACCCCUGCGGAGGGGAGGAGAGGGGACGGGCGAACCGACCGGGGCGGCCCUCGCCGCGGGGCUGCCGGCCUCGGGGCAGGCUGAAAUAUUAAGUUAAUCUAAGCGAAUAAGCCCUAAUAAGGCCUGCUGGGAUCCAGCUGACUCCUCAUAGGCACUUUAAUCUGAACUCCACAAAAUGCCUCUGUUUGUUCUUCAUCCACAGAUUACCUCCCAAACCAUUAUUUGCUGAAGAUGGAUGUCACACCCAGCACAUGGAUGGUGUAUCCAGCCAUUCAGAAAGGUUGUUUAUCAUUAACUUUUCAUUUAACCAUAAAACCGUUUGACAAAUACAAACUCAUUAUAGCUAGCAGAGCUGAAUGGAGGUUUUUUUGCUUAAUUUUUCCUGAGUAACAUAUCUGAGCUCAUGCUGAUACAUGUAAGGAAUAAAACCAUUAUUACAGCAAUGAAGCAGGGAGCAGCUAUGUUUUCAUGGAUAGGAUACUCUUCUAACUUAGGUUGAAAUAGAAUUGGGCCAAAUACAUCUUUUCUUAUUCACAGGAUUAGUCUUACAACUUCAAUAGAGUACCUGUGAGUCAGGUGAGCCCUCACACUUUCACUUUUGCUCGCUGAUGAUAUGGUUGCUCUAGUCUGUUUUUGAUGGGUUGUAGCCUCGUUUUUCAGAAAACUGUAAACAGUGGACUGAAAGACAUUUCAUCAUGUGCAUAUUACUUUGUAAUUAUUACUGUGUCAACUAUAGAACUUGAGCUUCAUAUCCACAUACAUUUCCUAGAAACAGCUUAAUCUGUAUGUGAAAGAUACACUACACACAGCAUCCCCAACAAUAAUGCAAGAGGGUAGUAAAACUGCAACAAACUCACUAAAAUAGUCCCACCAAUAGAUGACUGAAGAAUGGGAAACAAGAUCAUAGACUGAGUCUUACAGUGUCACUACAGAAUAUGAGUCCUGUUGCGCAAGUCCCUCUCAGUCUAUGAUACUGUCCCUGUCCUUUGCUGUUCCUCAUUCCUUUUCUCUGGUCAUGUUUCGUUGUCUCCAAACAUAAAACCAAAAAGAAAAAUUUAUGGUAAGUGGUAAAUAUAGCAAUGAGUGGAGGAAGGGUAAUGAAAGAUUGAAAUUGAAUUAACAAUGUUCAAGUGUAGAAAACAAAAGAAGGAUGAAAAUAAAGAAUGAAAAAUAGCAUAUUAGAAUUGUAAAUAAGCUCCUAGGUCACUGAGUUCAGUCAUUGUAUACAGCCACAAAAUUUCCAUUCAUUAAAAAAUUACUUUAAUAUAAUGGGAGGGAUCCCGGAAACAAGCAAGAUAGGGUGUUUUUUGGCUAGGUAGGAUUGAAUUUUCGGUUGCACUGUCUUCAGUAACUAUAUGAGCUCUGUCUAUUGCUGCAUCAUCGAUCUAUGUAAAUAUCAGUUUGCCUUUUUCAUUUUCAAAUUGUAUGCACCUCUGCUGUACGUAGUGGAACUUAUAUGUGGCUAGGAGCAAAAGAAUAAAGUGAAGCCUUAAAAUGGUCUUUGCAUCUUUUGUUUGAUACUGUGGGAAGCCAGGGUGCCACAUUUUAACAGUGUGUGAUAACUUUGACAUGUAGUUAAAGCUAGAAAUGGAAAAGAAGUGCCUAAAACAGGGAAGACUUUAAAUAAUAACAUGUAAGAAUAAAGAGAAAAAGUAGUGAAGCAACUGACUUUAAAAAGAUUUAUAGCAAGAGAGGCAAUACCAGGGGGAGCAAUAGUAACAGUAAUGCUCCACCUUUUUGAUAUCUAACCAUUUGACUCCGUGUAAAAAGGAAACAUUCAAGAAUUAUGACAUAAAUUAAUUGACUGAAAACAGUAGAAGUGAUGCAUCAAUUUACAAGAGAUGUACUGCUACCUUUUGCCAGCGGCCUACUGUAUAAUAAGGCAGACAGGGGAGUUCAGGUUCCUCGGCAGAGAUAGACUGUAGGUCUAUAACACUCAGUUCCAACAACAUUGAGAACCCUGAUAUUGUGGGUAGAAAGACAAUUUUAUUGAACUUCUGUCAGAGACAAUAUAGGACUGUGAAUACAAAAAGUAUAAAGAUCUGAGCUGUGGGAUACAGUGGAAGAAAACAACCUCUCAGAGGCUGGACCUCUUUGAUAAGAUGUGACUAUAUCCCCACAGACUUUGAAGCCUUUAAAAAGUAUAGACAAUCUACAUUCAGGAAAGAAAUGUCUAACAGUCUGAAAAAAAAAAAGGUAAAGAGUUACUUGGGGGAAAG
Long non-coding RNA from Aquila chrysaetos chrysaetos, 2253 nucleotides. RefSeq lists it as uncharacterized. The record is from RefSeq and is a predicted model, not a curated record. The transcript is spliced from 3 exons. NCBI's taxonomy places the organism in Eukaryota, Metazoa, Chordata, Aves, Accipitriformes, Accipitridae.